RNAcentral lists this ribosomal RNA (840 nucleotides) under uncultured eukaryote. RNAcentral's name for it is "SSU rRNA". It matches the Rfam family "Eukaryotic small subunit ribosomal RNA", at positions 635 to 1426 of the family's 1831-position model. The record is from RNAcentral.
CGGUGUUCAACUGGCGUGCCCGCGGGACGUCCUGCCGGUGAGCUCAGCCCGCGAGGGCGGCUCAACUUGAAAUCCCAUCGCGGUGCUCUUCAUUGAGUGUCGAGGUGGGCCGGCACGAUUACUUUUGAACAAAUUAGAGUGCUUAAAGCAGGCUAAAAUUUUGCCUGAAUACUGUGUAUAUGGAAUAAUGGAAUAGGACCUCGGUUCUAUUUUGUUGGUUUUCGGAACCCCGAGGUAAUGAUUAAUAGGAACGGAUGGGGGCAUUCGUAUUGCGACGUUAGAGGUGAAAUUCUUGGAUCGUCGCAAGACGGACUAAAGCGAAAGCAUUUGCCAAAAACGCUUUCAUUGAUCAAGAACGAAAGUUAGAGGUUCGAAGGCGAUCAGAUACCGCCCUAGUUCUAACCAUAAACUAUGCCAGCUAGCGAUCCGCCGACGUCCCUCUGAUGACUCGGCGGGCAGCUUCCGGGAAACCAAAGCUUUUGGGUUCCGGGGGAAGUAUGGUUGCAAAGCUGAAACUUAAAGGAAUUGACGGAAGGGCACCACCAGGAGUGGAGCCUGCGGCUUAAUUUGACUCAACACGGGAAACCUCACCAGGCCCAGACACUGGGAAGGAUUGACAGAUUGAGAGCUCUUUCUUGAUUCAGUGGGUGGUGGUGCAUGGCCGUUCUUAGUCGGUGGAGCGAUUUGUCAGGUUAAUUCCGAUAACGGACGAGACUCUGACCUGAUAACUAGACGCACUUGCGGCAUCUCAAAGGUCCGCCGGCGGCUGGCUUUGCGCCCGUCGUCGCGCGCGAUUUUUACUGCCGGCGUACAAUAAAUUCUUCUUAGAGGGACAAGUGG